Molecule: non-coding RNA, 750 nt
Organism: Microcebus murinus (gray mouse lemur)
Lineage: Eukaryota; Metazoa; Chordata; Mammalia; Primates; Cheirogaleidae
Source: RefSeq, a predicted model, not a curated record
CGACGAGAGACGCCAUGGAAAGAUAACACAGUUCCUCCAAUGCUCCUGGAACCAGCUUUCUUUCCAUCCUGCUGAAGAAUUUGACAUCUUCAGAACAAAAGAGGGAGUGAGGAAGAAUUUUGAAAAGGAGAAGCACACAGUAGAGCAACACCCAUCUUAACUUGAACCUGGUUAAUUUCUGCUCUGAAGUUAGGUUCCCGAAGGAUGUUCAGAAGCCCCAAGUAUUGAGAACUGUCAGCGUCAGCUGUUGGCGCGGUGCCAUCAGACAUAUUGCCCUGAAGAUCAAGUCCGGGUCAUUCCAUCAAUUUACUGCGGUUUACGAAGAUAGAGAAAAAAGCCAGGCCGUGCAGGCUAUCAACUUCAAAUGGCUUUAGUAAACAUGCCUCGGUUGCUUUAACGGCUUCCCUUCUGGCUCCAGACCUUCGUGCUCCUGGGCAGGACCACCCAAAUCAACCCAACAGACGCCUGUUUUUGGUAGAUGCAGCCCCAGAGUAAAGAGAAGGGGCCUGGGUGGAGCAGCAGCCACCGUCUCUACGAAGUUCCCAAGUAGAGUAAGGUUGGGACAGAACCUGGGAGUGUGGCUUGGUCUUGCACACAGAGUUGAUGAUGGCACCCAAGUCCCAUAGCUUUUGUCUUACCAGCCAGGGGACUUAGAGUUGGUGGCGGGGGACAGAGGAACAGGCGUGUGAGCUGGGCUUCCUUGGUAGAAGGUUUUGUUAGCAGCGUUGGGAUUCGUAAUCCAAUCCAUCU